GGGAAUGGUGUGGUUUGCUUAAAAAUUUGCAAGUCGAACGAGUCCUUUCGGGGGCAAGUGGCGGACGGGUGAGUAACGCGUGAGAAUCUGGCUCUAGGUUCGGGACAACCACUGGAAACGGUGGCUAAUACCGGAUGUGCCGAGAGGUGAAAGGUUAACUGCCUGGAGAUGAGCUCGCGUCUGAUUAGCUAGUUGGUGGUGUAAGGGACUACCAAGGCGACGAUCAGUAGCUGGUCUGAGAGGAUGAUCAGCCACACUGGAACUGAGACACGGUCCAGACUCCUACGGGAGGCAGCAGUGGGGAAUUUUCCGCAAUGGGCGAAAGCCUGACGGAGCAAUACCGCGUGAGGGAGGAAGGCUCUUGGGUUGUAAACCUCUUUUCUCAGGGAAUAAGCAAGUGAAGGUACCUGAGGAAUCAGCAUCGGCUAACUCCGUGCCAGCAGCCGCGGUAAUACGGAGGAUGCAAGCGUUAUCCGGAAUGAUUGGGCGUAAAGCGUCCGUAGGUAGCAGUGUGUGUCUAUUGUUAAAGAGUUUGGCUUAACCAAAUAAAGGCGGUAGAAACUACACAGCUAGAGUGCGUUCGGGGCAGAGGGAAUUCCUGGUGUAGCGGUGAAAUGCGUAGAGAUCAGGAAGAACACCGGUGGCGAAAGCGCUCUGUUAUGCCGCAACUGACACUGAGGGACGAAAGCUAGGGGAGCGAAUGGGAUUAGAUACCCCAGUAGUCCUAGCCGUAAACUAUGGAUACUAGGCGUUGAGAGUAUCGACCCUCUCAGUGCCGUAACUAACACGUUAAGUAUCCCGCCUGGGGGAGUACGCACGCAAGUUGUGAAACUCUAAGGAAUUGACUGGGGCCCGCACAAGCGGUGGAUAUUGGGGUUUAUUUCUAUGCAUCGCGAUAUCCUUAUCCUGGUUUUGAUAUGUUGGGAUCUUGGGUGAUCUCAGAUUGCCUUCGGUGCCUUAUCACAGGUUAUUGCAUGGUUGUCAUCUGCUGUGUCUGUG
RNAcentral lists this ribosomal RNA (999 nucleotides) under Fischerella sp. SH.A. Its description in RNAcentral is "bacterial SSU rRNA". It matches the Rfam family "Bacterial small subunit ribosomal RNA", at positions 29 to 1069 of the family's 1533-position model. The record is from RNAcentral. Lineage: Bacteria; Bacillati; Cyanobacteriota; Cyanophyceae; Nostocales; Hapalosiphonaceae.